GACGAACGCUGGCGGCGUGCUUAACACAUGCAAGUCGAACGGAAAGGCCUGUCCUUCCUUGUGUUGGACGGGUACUCGAGUGGCGAACGGGUGAGUAACACGUGAGUGAUCUGCCCCCAACUUGGGUAUAAGCCUGGGAAACUGGGUCUAAUUCCCGAUAGGACUGCAGGGUGGUGCCUGUGGUGGAAAACGAUUUUCUAGUGGUUGGGGAUGAGCUCGCGGCCUAUCAGCUUGUUGGUGGGGUAAUGGCCUACCAAGGCGGCGACGGGUAGCCGGCCUGAGAGGGUGGACGGCCACAUUGGGACUGAGAUACGGCCCAGACUCCUACGGGAGGCGGCAGUGGGGAAUAUUGCACAAUGGGCGGAAGCCUGAUGCAGCGACGCCGCGUGGGGGAUGACGGCCUUCGGGUUGUAAACUCCUUUCGACCGCGAGGAAGCCGCCUGGUUGGAAGGGUGGUGACGGUAGUGGUAGAAGAAGCACCGGCUAACUACGUG
Molecule: ribosomal RNA, 494 nt
Filed under: uncultured bacterium
Lineage: Bacteria
Description: partial 16S ribosomal RNA
Rfam family: Bacterial small subunit ribosomal RNA
Source: RNAcentral